This 546-nucleotide ribosomal RNA is filed under the name uncultured bacterium. Its description in RNAcentral is "bacterial SSU rRNA". It matches the Rfam family "Bacterial small subunit ribosomal RNA", at positions 110 to 652 of the family's 1533-position model. The record is from RNAcentral.
GGAAUACAUCGGAAUCUACUCUGUCGUGGGGGAUAACGUAGGGAAACUUACGCUAAUACCGCAUACGACCUACGGGUGAAAGCAGGGGAUCUUCGGACCUUGCGCGAUUGAAUGAGCCGAUGUCGGAUUAGCUAGUUGGCGGGGUAAAGGCCCACCAAGGCGACGAUCCGUAGCUGGUCUGAGAGGAUGAUCAGCCACACUGGAACUGAGACACGGUCCAGACUCCUACGGGAGGCAGCAGUGGGGAAUAUUGGACAAUGGGCGCAAGCCUGAUCCAGCCAUACCGCGUGGGUGAAGAAGGCCUUCGGGUUGUAAAGCCCUUUUGUUGGGAAAGAAAUCCAACUGGUUAAUACCCGGUUGGGAUGACGGUACCCAAAGAAUAAGCACCGGCUAACUUCGUGCCAGCAGCCGCGGUAAUACGAAGGGUGCAAGCGUUACUCGGAAUUACUGGGCGUAAAGCGUGCGUAGGUGGUUAUUUAAGUCCGUUGUGAAAGCCCUGGGCUCAACCUGGGAACUGCAGUGGAUACUGGAUGACUAGAAUGUGGU